UAGAGUUUGAUCCUGGCUCAGGUUGAACGCUGGCGGCAGCCUAACACAUGCAAGUCGAGCGGAUGAGGGGAGCUUGCUCCCUGAUUUAGCGGCGGACGGGUGAGUAAUGCCUAGGAAUCUGCCUGGUAGUGGGGGAUAACGUUCCGAAAGGAACGCUAAUACCGCAUACGUCCUACGGGAGAAAGCAGGGGACCUUCGGGCCUUGCGCUAUCAGAUGAGCCUAGGUCGGAUUAGCUAGUUGGUGAGGUAAUGGCUCACCAAGGCGACGAUCCGUAACUGGUCUGAGAGGAUGAUCAGUCACACUGGAACUGAGACACGGUCCAGACUCCUACGGGAGGCAGCAGUGGGGAAUAUUGGACAAUGGGCGAAAGCCUGAUCCAGCCAUGCCGCGUGUGUGAAGAAGGUCUUCGGAUUGUAAAGCACUUUAAGUUGGGAGGAGGGGCAUUAACCUAAUACGUUAGUGUUUUGACGUUACCAACAGAAUAAGCACCGGCUAACUUCGUGCCAGCAGCCGCGGUAAUACGAAGGGUGCAAGCGUUAAUCGGAAUUACUGGGCGUAAAGCGCGCGUAGGUGGUUCGUUAAGUUGGAUGUGAAAGCCCCGGGCUCAACCUGGGAACUGCAUCCAAAACUGGCGAGCUAGAGUACGGUAGAGGGUGGUGGAAUUUCCUGUGUAGCGGUGAAAUGCGUAGAUAUAGGAAGGAACACCAGUGGCGAAGGCGACCACCUGGACUGAUACUGACACUGAGGUGCGAAA
RNAcentral lists this ribosomal RNA (755 nucleotides) under uncultured bacterium. Its description in RNAcentral is "bacterial SSU rRNA". It matches the Rfam family "Bacterial small subunit ribosomal RNA", at positions 1 to 758 of the family's 1533-position model. The record is from RNAcentral.